UACGGAGGGUGCAAGCGUUAAUCGGAAUUACUGGGCGUAAAGCGUGCGCAGGCGGUUUGUUAAGUCUGCUGUGAAAUCCCCCGAGCUCAACUUGGGAAUUGCAGUGGAUACUGGCAGGCUGGAGUAUGGUAGAGGAAGGUGGAAUUCCCGGUGUAGCAGUGAAAUGCGUAGAGAUCGGGAGGAACACCAGUGGCGAAGGCGGCCUCUGGACCAAUACUGACGCUCAUGCACGAAAGCGUGGGGAGCAAACAGG
RNAcentral lists this ribosomal RNA (253 nucleotides) under uncultured bacterium. Its description in RNAcentral is "partial 16S ribosomal RNA". It matches the Rfam family "Bacterial small subunit ribosomal RNA", at positions 524 to 776 of the family's 1533-position model. The record is from RNAcentral.